CCUACGGGAGGCAGCAGUGGGGAAUAUUGCGCAAUGGGCGCAAGCCUGACGCAGCGACGCCGCGUGCGGGAUGAAGGUCUUCGGAUCGUUAACCUCUGUUAGCAGGGAAGAACGUCCACUGUGCUAAUCAGCAGUGAAUUGACGGUACCUGCAAAGGAAGCACCGGCUCACUCCGUGCCAGCAGCCGCGGUAAUACGGUGGGUGCGUGCGUUAAUCGGAAUUACUGGGCGUAAAGCGCGCGUAGGCGGUAUGUCAAGUCAAGGGUGAAAUCCCCGCGCUCAACGUGGGAACUGCCUUUGAAACUGGCAAACUGGAGUGUGUGAGAGGUUAGUGGAAUGCAAGGUGUAGGAGUGAAAUCCAUAGAUAUC
This 368-nucleotide ribosomal RNA is filed under the name uncultured bacterium. RNAcentral's name for it is "partial 16S ribosomal RNA". It matches the Rfam family "Bacterial small subunit ribosomal RNA", at positions 338 to 698 of the family's 1533-position model. The record is from RNAcentral.